Molecule: ribosomal RNA, 243 nt
Filed under: Triticum aestivum (bread wheat)
Lineage: Eukaryota; Viridiplantae; Streptophyta; Magnoliopsida; Poales; Poaceae
Description: partial small subunit ribosomal RNA
Source: RNAcentral
AUGACUAAUGUUCAAGUCGAGUUGGAUUGCCAGGUUCUGGUGAAAGCUUUGCAGGGCAGGGACGCAGAUCUAGCAGCAGAAGGAUUAUUGUUCAAAGAGAUUCGUGACUUCGCCCGUCUCAACUUUAGUCGUGUUUCAUUUUCUUUUGUCCCGCGGGCAUGUAAUAGCUUAGCGCAUGCAUUAGCUGCCUAUGGCGCUUGUCAGGCUGUUGACAGGGGCCUGAGAACAUUCCAGAUGAUGUAA